CGACGCCGGCGCCGCAUCUUCCCCCAACUCCUUUCUGUCGUCAUACUUUACCGCCACCGAUUUUCAUCAGCCGGCCAACUCCAUCUUGUCUCACCCCUCCUUCCCCACAUCGACCGCCUCCUGAUGCUCCUCCUCCUCUCUUUGUGUGUGCUCAAUCCUGAUCCACACCUUUGCAUCGGCGUUCUUUAAAUCUCCGAUGAAUAUCUCCCUCUAUGGAUGGAGCAGCAUCGCCGUCCACGUCUGCGUUCCCACGGCCGGAUCCGCACCACCGUCGCCCGAGCCGGCGUUCCCACGGUCACGUUCCUCUCCACCGUCGCCCGCUCCUGCCCGCGCUCAUCCAUCGCCGCGUACUUAAUGGCUUCGGUGACCACGGCGCCUCGGCUGCGACCCAGGCUUGCUUGGCGGCCGGAUGGAUAGAUACUGGCAAAGCUCAUCCUCGGCGCCCCGGCUGCGACCCAUGGUUGAUUGGCCGCCGGCUGGAAGGGGGCCUCCUGCUCCUCCUAACUAAGCUUGAUGUGGGGCGGACUGACAGCCUGGUAUUGGUGUGUGCGACCUGCGGACGGCACCCACUAAGCGACGCAUCUUCUUUUGUCGUCCUCAUGCUCUCUGCCCUUAAUUUGUCAUCUAUCUAUCUGAUUGUUGGCUACAUGCGCAGGUGUUUGAGGCAUGACCGCAUGAGCGGUGACUUCCAUCCAGUAGGAGGCAGCAAGAAGCCGCGACUGACUCUGAACUAGCUGCUAGCAAUGCGCCCCCUCCCCUCUCAUCUACGUACAUGGAUUGCCAAUGGCCAAACUACUCUCUUGAUUCUUUCUUUAGCGUUUUCAGUUUCCACUAACAAUCCAUAUUUGGUAAACCGUGAACCCUGUUCAUGAGUAUCCGCCAACAAUCUGUUUGAUGUUAUGCAUACGUUGGAUUGAGAUACAGUCUAAUUUUCUGGUCAAACUCUUACCUCUGUUUAGAAAAUCAAUAUGAAGAAAUAGGUGUAUUGAUGUACGAUCUGCACUUAAGAACAAGUGUACCUGUUGUUCCAAGCUGCCGGCGAUGACGGCCAAAGAGUCAGCGAGGGUCCACGGUCCAUUUGAUUUCAUGGGGAUUAUUCUGUAAAAUGCGAUCUACAUUGAAGCCAAUCCGAUCCAGGUGAAACGGAAGUUGGUAGAUUAUUCCGGCAAUGGGGCUUCUGCUUGUGCGGCUCUGCAUUACCAUUCCAUAGCUCAAGGCAUCAGAUCUGCUUUAGAGACAAACUCUCGCUCGGCUUAGUUUCCAUGUAGUGUUAAAUUAACUAUCUUCGUUACAAACGGUAAGCUAAAGCAGAUUAAAAAGGAUAAUAAUUUUUCUCAAUCCAUGGUCAGUUGCUAAACUGACCAGUAGCUGCACUCAAGGAGCUAACUGUUCACUAUAAAAUAGCCAUAAAUUUGUCAGGCUUUACAGUGUCCUAUAUCUGAAUUUUGUGGUCUGGAAAUUUUUAGCGGUUAUUUCAUAGUAAGAUUAUAGAGUUAUUCUCCCUGUUUCACUAAUCUGCUCACUUGCUCACAGUAAAAAAAAUAAUUAAAUUAUCAGGAGUGGUAAUUUCAAGGAAAGAAACAAGAGCACUUUGAGGUCUCUGCUAUCGUUCAAGAUAUAUGUUACACAAAAUUGGUAUUGGACCAUAAAUAUGUAUGCCCGUUGCAGCGCACGGGCUCAUUUACUUUA
Long non-coding RNA from Triticum dicoccoides, 1689 nucleotides. RefSeq lists it as uncharacterized. The transcript is spliced from 2 exons. The record is from RefSeq and is a predicted model, not a curated record. NCBI's taxonomy places the organism in Eukaryota, Viridiplantae, Streptophyta, Magnoliopsida, Poales, Poaceae.